UCAGAAAUGCAGGCAGUUUGAUU
This 23-nucleotide small nuclear RNA is filed under the name Arabidopsis thaliana (thale cress). RNAcentral's name for it is "snRNA_05804". Lineage: Eukaryota; Viridiplantae; Streptophyta; Magnoliopsida; Brassicales; Brassicaceae. The record is from RNAcentral.